Molecule: ribosomal RNA, 590 nt
Filed under: uncultured bacterium
Lineage: Bacteria
Description: partial 16S ribosomal RNA
Rfam family: Bacterial small subunit ribosomal RNA
Source: RNAcentral
UGGGGAAUUUUGGACAAUGGGCGAAAGCCUGAUCCAGCAAUGCCGCGUGUGUGAAGAAGGCCUUCGGGUUGUAAAGCACUUUUGUCCGGAAAGAAAUCCUUGGCUCUAAUACAGUCGGGGGAUGACGGUACCGGAAGAAUAAGCACCGGCUAACUACGUGCCAGCAGCCGCGGUAAUACGUAGGGUGCAAGCGUUAAUCGGAAUUACUGGGCGUAAAGCGUGCGCAGGCGGUUUGCUAAGACCGAUGUGAAAUCCCCGGGCUCAACCUGGGAACUGCAUUGGUGACUGGCAGGCUAGAGUAUGGCAGAGGGGGGUAGAAUUCCACGUGUAGCAGUGAAAUGCGUAGAGAUGUGGAGGAAUACCGAUGGCGAAGGCAGCCCCCCUGGGCCAAUACUGACGCUCAUGCACGAAAAGCGUGGGGGAGCAAAACAGGAUUAGAUACCCCUGGUAGUCCACGCCCCUAAAACGAUGUCAACUAGUUGUUGGGGGAUUCAUUUCCUUAGUAACGUAGCUAACGCGUGAAGUUGACCGCCUGGGGAGUACGGUCGCAAGAUUAAAACUCAAAUGAAUUGACGGGGUCAUAGCUGUUU